CUGCUCCUACGGGAGGCAGCAGUGAGGAAUAUUGGUCAAUGGGCGGGAGCCUGAACCAGCCAAGUCGCGUGAGGGAAGACGGUCCUAUGGAUUGUAAACCUCUUUAGGCGGGGAGCAAUGCCGGGCACGCGUGCCCGGAGGGAGAGUACCCGCAGAAUAAGCAUCGGCUAACUCCGUGCCAGCAGCCGCGGUAAAACGGAGGAUGCGAGCGGUAUCCGGAUUUAUUGGGUUUAAAGGGAGCGUAGGCGGAUUUUUAAGUCAGCGGUAAAAUGUCCGGGCUCAACCCGGGCCGGCGGUUG
Molecule: ribosomal RNA, 299 nt
Filed under: uncultured bacterium
Lineage: Bacteria
Description: partial 16S ribosomal RNA
Rfam family: Bacterial small subunit ribosomal RNA
Source: RNAcentral